AGGGCACCACCAGGAGUGGAGCCUGCGGCUUAAUUUGACUCAACACGGGAAAUCUCACCAGGCCCGGACACUGGAAGGAUUGACAGAUUGAGAGCUCUUUCUUGAUUCGGUGGGUGGUGGUGCAUGGCCGUCCUUAGUUGGUGGAGCGAUUUGUCUGGUUAAUUCCGAUAACGAACGAGACUCUGGCCUACUAACUAGACGUUGGAUCCCUUUGUGGGUCCAUCGCAGCUUCUUAGAGGGACGGGCGGCGUUUAGCCGCACGAGAUUGAGCAAUAACAGGUCUGUGAUGCCCUUAGAUGUUCUGGGCUGCGCGCGCGCUACACUGAAGGAAUCAGCGUGUGUUCCCUAUCCGAAAGGAUUGGGAAACCCGUUGAACCUCCUUCGUGAUGGGGAUUGGGGAUUGCAAUUAUUCCCCAUGAACGAGGAAUUCCCAGUAGGCGCGAGUCAUAAGCUUGCGUCGAUUACGUCCCUGCCCUUUGUACACACCGCCCGUCGCUACUACCGAUCGAGUGAUUUAGU
Molecule: ribosomal RNA, 519 nt
Filed under: uncultured eukaryote
Lineage: Eukaryota
Description: SSU rRNA
Rfam family: Eukaryotic small subunit ribosomal RNA
Source: RNAcentral